AAACUAUAGUUAAGGAACUCGGCAAAUUAGCCUCGUAAGUUCGCGAGAAGGGGUGCCUAGGGCAACCUAGGCCGCAGUGAAGAGACACCGGCAACUGUUUAUCAAAAACACAGCUCUAUGCAAAGGUGCAAGCCGAAGUAUAUGGGGCGACGCCUGCCCAGUGCUCCAAGGUUAAGAGGAGGGGUUAGCCAGUAGUAAGAUGCUGGUGAAGCUCUGAAUUGAAGCCCGAGUGAACGGCGGCCGUAACUAUAACGGUCCAAAGGUAGCGAAACUCCUUGUCAGGUAAGUUCUGACCCGCAUGAAAGGCGUAAUGACUGGUGUACUGUCUCAACUAUAGACUCGGUGAAAUCUUAGUACCGGUGAAGAUGCCGGUUACCCGCAACUAGACGGAAAGACCCCGUGGAGCUUUACUGCAGCUUGAUAUUGGGUUUUUUUCUGGUUUGUGUAGGCUAGGUGGGAGACUUUGAAGCUGACUUCUCAACAGGUCAGUGGAGUCGCAAGGUGAAAGACCACUCUAAUCAGCAGAAGAUUCUAACUUAUUGGUUUACAGCCAAAAGGACAGUGUUUGGUGGGUAGUUUGACUGGGGCGGUCGCCUCCUAAAAAGUAACGGAGGUGUUCAUAAGGUAUCCUCAGUAGGUAUAGAAAUCCUAUGUAGAGCGUAAAGGUAUAAGGAUGCUUAACUGUGAGACUUACAAGUCGAACAGAUACGAAAGUAGGACUUAGUGAUCCGGCGGUUACCUAGUGGUAGGGCCGUCGCUAAACGGACAAAAGUUACCCCGGGGAUAACAGGCUAAUACUUCCCAAGAGAUCACAUCGACGGAAGUGUUUGGCACCUCGAUGUCGACUCAUCGCAUCCUGGAGGUGAAGAAGCUUCCAAGGGUUGGGCUGUUCGCCCAUUAAAGCGGUACGUGAGUUGGGUUUAGAACGUCGUGAGACAGUUUGGUCCCUAUCUGUUGUGGGCGCAGGAAAUUUGCGGAGAUCUGCUCUUAGUACGCAAGGACCAGAGUGGACUGACCAAUGGUGUACCAGUUGUCCUGUCAAGGGCACGGCUGGCUAGCUACGUCAGGUCUAGAUAAGCACUGAAAGCAUCUAAGUGCGAAGCUAACUUCAAGAUAAGAUUUCCCAUCCCGUGAGGGAGUAAGAUACCUUCUAGACCAGGAGGUUGAUAGGUGAAAAAUGUAAGUAUAGUAAUAUAUUGAGUUAAUUCAUACUAAUUUAUCGAGGACUUAUUUAG
This 1235-nucleotide ribosomal RNA is filed under the name metagenome. Its description in RNAcentral is "bacterial LSU rRNA". It matches the Rfam family "Bacterial large subunit ribosomal RNA", at positions 1696 to 2925 of the family's 2925-position model. The record is from RNAcentral.